CCUACGGGUGGCAGCAGUGAGGAAUAUUGGUCAAUGGCCGGAAGGCUGAACCAGCCAUGCCGCGUGAAGGUCAGUGCCCUAUGGGCGUUAAACUUCUUUUGUGCGGGUGCAAUAAUGGUCACGUGUGGCCAGACGAGAGUACCGUACGAAUAAGCAUCGGCUAACGACGUGCCAGCAGCCGCGGUAAUACGGGGGAUGCAAGCGUUUUCCGGAUUUUUUGGGUUUAAAGGGGGCGUAGGGUGGGAGGUAAGUCAGCGGUGAAAUGCCGCCGCUCAACGGGGUGAAGUGCCAUUGAUACUGCCUUGCUGGAAUGCGGAUGCGGUGGGAGGAAUGUGUGGUGUAGCGGUGAAAUGCAUAGAUAUCACACAGAACACCGAUUGCGAAGGCAUCUCACGAAUCCGCGAUUGACGCUGAUGCACGAAAGCGUGGGUAUCAAACAGGAUUAGAUACCCGAGUAGUC
RNAcentral lists this ribosomal RNA (460 nucleotides) under uncultured bacterium. RNAcentral's name for it is "partial 16S ribosomal RNA". It matches the Rfam family "Bacterial small subunit ribosomal RNA", at positions 338 to 795 of the family's 1533-position model. The record is from RNAcentral.